UACGUUCCCGGGCCUUGUACACACCGCCCGUCACACCAUGGGAGUUGGUUUACCCGAAGGCGUUUCGCCAACCCGCAAGGGGGCAGGCGACCACGGUAGGGUCAGCGACUGGGGUG
This 116-nucleotide ribosomal RNA is filed under the name uncultured bacterium. RNAcentral's name for it is "partial 16S ribosomal RNA". It matches the Rfam family "Bacterial small subunit ribosomal RNA", at positions 1367 to 1482 of the family's 1533-position model. The record is from RNAcentral.